CCUACGGGUGGCAGCAGUGUGGCAUAUUGGUCAAUGUACGAGAGUCUGAACCAGCCAAGUAGCGUGAAGGAUGACUGCCCUAUGGGUUGUAAACUUCUUUUAUAUGUGAAUAAAACAGGGUAUGCAUACUCUCUUGUAUGUACCAUAUGAAUAAGGAUCGGCUAACUCCGUGCCAGCAGCCACGUUAAUACGGAGGAUCCGAGCGUUAUCCGGCUUUAUUGGGUUUAAAGUGAGCGUUGGUGGGUUGUUAGGUUGGUUGUGAAAGUUGGCGGCUCAACCGUAAAAUUGCAGUUGAAACUGGCAGUCUUGAGUACAGUAGAGGUGGGCGGGAUUCGUGGUGUAUCGGUGAAAUUCUUAGAUAUCACGAAGAACUCCGAUUGCGAAGGCAGCUCACUGGACUGCAACUGACACUGAUGCUCGAAAGUGUGGGUAUCAAACAGGAUUAGAUACCCGUGUAGUC
RNAcentral lists this ribosomal RNA (460 nucleotides) under uncultured bacterium. Its description in RNAcentral is "partial 16S ribosomal RNA". It matches the Rfam family "Bacterial small subunit ribosomal RNA", at positions 338 to 795 of the family's 1533-position model. The record is from RNAcentral.